AUUGAACGCUGGCGGCAGGCCUAACACAUGCAAGUCGAACGAGUGGCGGACGGGUGAGUAAUGUCUGGGAAACUGCCCGAUGGAGGGGGAUAACUACUGGAAACGGUAGCUAAUACCGCAUACCAUCGGAUGUGCCCAGAUGGGAUUAGCUUGUAGGUGAGGUAACGGCUCACCUAGGCGACGAUCCCUAGCUGGUCUGAGAGGAUGACCAGCCAAACUGGAACUGUGCCACGGUCCAGACUCCUACGGUAGGCAUCAGUGGGGAAGAUUGCACAAUGGGCGCAAGCCGGAUGCAGCCAUGCCGGGUGGAUGAAGAAGGCCUUCGGGUUUGAAAGUACUUGCAGCGGGGAGGCGUUACCCUCAGAAGAAGCACCGGCUAACUCCGUGCCAGCAGCCGCGGUAAUUC
This 406-nucleotide ribosomal RNA is filed under the name uncultured bacterium. RNAcentral's name for it is "partial 16S ribosomal RNA". It matches the Rfam family "Bacterial small subunit ribosomal RNA", at positions 30 to 526 of the family's 1533-position model. The record is from RNAcentral.